RNAcentral lists this unclassified non-coding RNA (375 nucleotides) under soil metagenome. Its description in RNAcentral is "partial contains 5.8S ribosomal RNA, internal transcribed spacer 2, and large subunit ribosomal RNA". The stretch from base 1 to 121 matches the Rfam family "5.8S ribosomal RNA", at positions 35 to 154 of the family's 154-position model. The record is from RNAcentral.
GAUGAAGAACGUAGCGAAAUGCGAUAAGUAAUGCGAAUUGCAGAAUUCCAGUGAGUCAUCGAAUCUUUGAACGCACAUUGCGCCCUUUGGUAUUCCGAAGGGCAUGCCUGUUCGAGCGUCAUUAUCACCCCUCAAGCCCCCCGGCUUGGUGUUGGACGGUUUGGCGGAGGCCCUCCGGGGCCCUUGCCCCUCCCAAAGACAAUGACGGCUGCCUCGUUGGACCCCCGGUACACUGAGUUCUUUACGGGACACGUACUGGAGUAAGGGUGCACGGGGCACGGUCUGCCUCCCCUCAGGGAGAAUCUUUUUUUACAAGGUUGACCUCGGAUCAGGUAGGGAUACCCGCUGAACUUAAGCAUAUCAAUAAGCGGAGGA